AUACGGAGGGGGUUAGCGUUGUUCGGAAUUACUGGGCGUAAAGCGCACGUAGGCGGAUUGGAAAGUUGGGGGUGAAAUCCCAGGGCUCAACCCUGGAACUGCCUCCAAAACUAACAGUCUAGAGUUCGAGAGAGGUGAGUGGAAUUCCAAGUGUAGAGGUGAAAUUCGUAGAUAUUUGGAGGAACACCAGUGGCGAAGGCGGCUCACUGGCUCGAUACUGACGCUGAGGUACGAAAGUGUGGGGAGCAAACAGGAUUAGAAACCCUAGUAGUCC
RNAcentral lists this ribosomal RNA (274 nucleotides) under uncultured bacterium. Its description in RNAcentral is "partial 16S ribosomal RNA". It matches the Rfam family "Bacterial small subunit ribosomal RNA", at positions 523 to 796 of the family's 1533-position model. The record is from RNAcentral.